RNAcentral lists this ribosomal RNA (73 nucleotides) under Escherichia sp. E3356. RNAcentral's name for it is "partial 16S ribosomal RNA". The stretch from base 1 to 60 matches the Rfam family "Bacterial small subunit ribosomal RNA", at positions 1474 to 1533 of the family's 1533-position model. The record is from RNAcentral. Lineage: Bacteria; Pseudomonadati; Pseudomonadota; Gammaproteobacteria; Enterobacterales; Enterobacteriaceae.
ACUGGGGUGAAGUCGUAACAAGGUAACCGUAGGGGAACCUGCGGUUGGAUCACCUCCUUACCUUAAAGAAGCG